UCCGGAGAGUUCGCCUGAGAAAUCGCGAACACAUCUAAGGAAGGCAGCAGGCGCGAAAAUUACCCACUCUCAGCACGAGGAGGUAGUGACGAAAAAUAACGAGACCGUUCUCUUUCGAGGCCGGUCAUCGGAAUGGGUACAAUUUAAACCCUUUAACGAGUAUCUAUGAGAGGGCAAGUCUGGUGCCAGCAGCCGCGGUAAUUCCAGCUCUCAAAGUGCAUAGAAUUAUUGCUGCGGUUAAAAAGCUCGUAGUUGGAUCUGUGCCAUAGGCCGGGGUCCACCUUCACAGGUGCGUACUCUUGUUUGCCUAGGCUUUUUGUCGGUUUUCCCGUCGUCGGCCUUCGUUGGUUAGCGGCGGGUGGCUGGCGAGUUUAUUUUGAGAAAAUCAGAGUGCUCAAUACAGGCGUUUUGCUUGAAUGAUUGUGCAUGGAAUAAUAGAAAAGGAUUUCGGUCCUCUUUUAUUGGUUUUGUGGACUGAGAUAAUGGUUAACAGGGACAAACGGGGGCAUUCGUAUCGCUGCGUGAGAGGUGAAAUUCUUGGACCGUAGCGAGACGCCCUACUGCGAAAGCAUUUGCCAAGAAUGUCUUCAUUAAUCAAGAACGAAAGUCAGAGGUUCGAAGGCGAUCAGAUACCGCCCUAGUU
Molecule: ribosomal RNA, 643 nt
Filed under: Cephalobidae sp. 4 MK-2017
Lineage: Eukaryota; Metazoa; Nematoda; Chromadorea; Rhabditida; Cephalobidae
Description: SSU rRNA
Rfam family: Eukaryotic small subunit ribosomal RNA
Source: RNAcentral